GCCAGGUGUGGUGUCGCAUGCCUGUGGUCCCAACCACUCGGGAAGCUGAGGUGGGAGGAUCACUUGAGCCCAGGAAGUCGAGGCUGCAGUGAGCCCUGUUUGCGCCACUGCACUCCAGCCUGGGCAACAGAGUGAGACCCUGUCUCAA
Unclassified non-coding RNA from Papio anubis (olive baboon), 148 nucleotides. It matches the Rfam family "Metazoan signal recognition particle RNA". Rfam says of the family: The signal recognition particle (SRP) is a universally conserved ribonucleoprotein. It is involved in the co-translational targeting of proteins to membranes. Lineage: Eukaryota; Metazoa; Chordata; Mammalia; Primates; Cercopithecidae. The record is from Ensembl.